UUUUAUUAUUAUUUUUUUAAUAAAUAUAGAGGAUCCAUUCCGUUCAUUAUUUUCUUCUAGCCCCAAAAUCGGAUGGGCCUAUUUUUGGCCCAACUUUUUUAUUUUUAUUUUUUAAAAUGAGGAAAAUUGGAUUUUAUAUUUCAUUCCUCCUCUCCUCUGUGACGACUACGACGUUCAACUCGACCUCCACCUCCAAUCCUACUCCAAGAAUCAUUGAACCGACGACGGAGACUCGAUGUUGGCAUCAUUUCCUUAGUCGACCCUACUUAUCUUCUUCGUGCCAGUUCCCAAAUACCUCUUCCUUCCCUUCACUCUUCACAAAUCACAAGAACAAGAAGUCACCUAUUUUCAACCCUAAAGGCCUAAUUUAUUGCCUUCUUUUAGUGUUUGUUACCUCUCUUUCUUGUGCCGAUCGUCAAUUUAUUGUCUGUCCUCUUCAAUUUGAUCAUGGUAUGUUUAUUAUGUAAUUAGUUUUUUCUUGUCAAGAUUCUUGACAGAGUAAACUCUCAGAAAAAUUACAAUUUCUCUUACUUAGCCUGUGUAUGUGGUUUUAUUUCAGGUAGAUUGAUGUUAAUAAGGGCCUUUGACUACAAUUAUCUCAAUUAGAGUGUUGUUGUCUUGCCGAUGAAGGUUUGCCUCAUUUUUCCUUUGGUCAUGCUUUCCAACUCUUGUGUUUCUUCUAUUUUAUUACUAUUGAAAAAAUAAAAACAUAUAUUGAUUAGCAAAGAUGUUAUUAUAUGUCAAUUGUCCUAUUGCUAAUGAUAUAUUUGAUGAACUGCUAAAUCCUAAAUGGAGCCAUAACAUUAGUACAUAAAUCAUACUUAGCAGUCUAGUAACCAGAUUGUUGUUUUCCUUAACUUGUGCUCAUGUUCAAUCGUAUGUUAUUUGAAGACCUUAUGUACAUGGUUGGUGCAAUAGAUAUUUUAGGUUUGUUGUUUUUGUGAGAUAUGUCAGUAGUAAGGUGAACAAUAUCAACUGGAAUGAAUUUUGUCCAUGGUUUGGUUUGGUUUCCACUUUUGGUUUUGUAUUGGUGGUUGAUGCCAAAUUCUUAUUUCAGGUUUGUAAAUUGUGACGGUAGAAUUCUCAACGACGUGAUUUCGUCAUUUUCGUUGAAAUUCUACUUCUCAAGUAAGUAAUGACUUACCCUAACUUGUUAUUAAAUAUAUUGAAAAUGUUUGAAAUCUUGUCGCUUAUAUAUUAUAGCCUGGUUGGCUUAUAUGAUUGGUUAUUGUAGGAUCAAUUGCACAAGCGAACAUAGUAAAUAUAUUGAAAACUUUAAUUAUGAAAUGAUUGAGAUAUUUUGUGAAAAGAAGUUUCUCCAAUUGAAGUUAAUCAAGACUUACCUCCGAUCAACUAUGUCACAAGAAAGAUUGAACAGAUUAGCUAUAUUAUCAAUAGAAAAAAAAUUGGUUGAAUAAGUAAAUUAUUCAGAUUUGAUUAAUGUUUUUGUCUCUAAAAUAGCAAGGCAAUUGGUAUUUAAAUGAUUAUUUGAAACGUUGUUAGUUUUGUUAUUUUAUAAUAUAAACUUUUUGUAUAAUAUAUUUAUUUGUUGUUUUACUAUCAAGUUUUAAGUUAGCGAUAUGUUGUAUAAUACACAAUAGGUUUUGUUGGAUUUCGCAUUUAAGUUGAUUUUGGAGGACCUAAUUUUGGAGUUCGCCUCAGGCCCCAAAAUCAUAAGACCGGCACUGCCUAUUAGAGAGUAUCCAAUUGGACACGGAUUCGUAAUAAGUUUACAAGUAUCCAUGCUUCUUAGCCGUGGGUUACAUUGCAUGUUGGUUUUGUUGUUUUACUAGCUUUAAUUCUCAACCGAUUUUGUUUCAUUUCCAUUUUUUUGUGUGGAAUUGAAAUUUGUACUUCUAUUUUUCAUUUAUGUUAUGCCUUGAAAUAAGUUUUUGACCUUUGUGGCUGUGAUUCCUGGAGACUUGUGUCAUUUCUUAAGCAUAUGUUGCUUGUCUUUUGUUGGAUAUGAGUGAUACAUCUGCUGAUGGUCUUAUCUAUGCAGAUUCAUAAUUGACAAAGAGAGACCUAAAGUACUCGAGAUAAUAAAGAGAAAUGAGAAAAGGGACCAUAAAAUCAAUGACUUCUUGCUUACAUAUUUGUGUAUGCCACUCGAGAAGUUUCUAAUUCCACUUUGCUCUUGGAUAACCUUCAAAUCCUAAGGAAUACUGUUUUUUUAUGAGUUUUUGCUUUAAAGCUUUGGCCUUACAACGGACAACCAACACAGACUUGGCAUGGUGUAUAAAAUGAUUACAACACCACAGAACUUCAAUAUCUUUUUUGUUUCGUCUGUAAGCUUGAUUUGCUAAUGUUGUAUACUAUCCAGUUAAAGAAAGAAUCUAAAGCUUAUAGUUGGCGAAAGAAAUCAUCCUCGAAGAAGCAAAGCUUUUAAAAGUUAUUACUGGUGUGGUGAAAAUGCCCAACAAAUGAUAAUGUGAGGUUUUUGAAUGUUGGGGCCAACCAAAGACAGUUUUGAAGUUACUGAUGCUGAUGAAUCUGUCCACUGCUCAGAGCCUAGCCUUAAAGUUUGUGGAUCAACGUAUCAUAAUUUUUUCGGGAAAUUCUGAAAAUGAUGCAGGUAAAGGUCAUGCUUCAGUUGUCAGAUGUUUUUGAGAGCGGUUCUCUUUCUUCAUCACUCUGAGAGAAAUGUUGUUUUGAUAAUUUGAAGUUGAAUAUUUGGAGUUCCAUGAUGUACUAAAUUGGCAGGCUUCUUUUUUUCGGAUCGGUAAAUGUAAAUAUCAUUGAUAAAAAAUGUUUCAUAUACAAGUACAUCGGGCAUUCCUGGACGAAUCAAAAGCCAAUGUCACAUACAAUUACUCCGGGCAUACCUGGGAGAGACAAAAGAAAGUGAAAUGCAUAAAAGAUCAAUGACCCAAUGCCAAGGAUUCGAAAUGGAUCAAGAUAUCCGGAUAUAAGGUAAACAAAACCUUGUAUACAUGUGUCUUGAUCUGUCUAACAAUGCAAUCCAAGUCGGGUGAGUGGUCUUCGAAAAUCUUCCUAUUCCUUGUAAGCCAAAUGUAGAAUACGGUGUUUGCAAGAGCAAUCCUCUUCGACUUACUUAGGCAGCCUUGAAGUCCCACAUGCCUCAUUUUUCAACCACUUAAGAGCACUAGCAAGUGUUGACAUAGAUCUCGUAAUGUCGAGCCAUCGCCUAAUAUUCCUCCAUAAGGUAGAUGUGAAGGAACACUUAAAAAAAAGAUGGUCGCAAGUUUCCACAAAAUGCCCACGAAAAACACACUUGCGAUCAAUAUCCAAAAAAGCAGUUUGUCUUUAGUUAGGAGCUUUGAUUGGGCCCCUAACCAAAGCAUAAAAGAAUGCUUCGAUGUGAUGCAAGGUUUCCAAACUUCGGCUCCCCAAGUCUUGAAAGUGCCCUUAGGCCUAAAGAAAUUAUAGGCAAUUUUUGUGCUGAAUUUAUCACUUGUAGAACAGCGCAGAUUUCUGUUGAAAAUUUCCAGAAACUACCUACCGAAUGAAGGAAUCUGCCCGCCUGUAGUUCUGUCCAAAUUCUGCCCAGUUAUCCCCCAGUUCUGUGCAUUCCCAACAAUAUAAUUUCGGCCAGAAACAGCAUGCCGAGAAG
This 3574-nucleotide long non-coding RNA is filed under the name Olea europaea subsp. europaea. Lineage: Eukaryota; Viridiplantae; Streptophyta; Magnoliopsida; Lamiales; Oleaceae. The record is from RNAcentral.